RNAcentral lists this ribosomal RNA (336 nucleotides) under Centruroides hoffmanni. RNAcentral describes it as "partial large subunit ribosomal RNA". It matches the Rfam family "Bacterial large subunit ribosomal RNA", at positions 1968 to 2547 of the family's 2925-position model. The record is from RNAcentral. Lineage: Eukaryota; Metazoa; Arthropoda; Arachnida; Scorpiones; Buthidae.
UUAGUCUUGUAAUUCAAGACUGGAAUGAAAGGAUAAACUAGGGAAUUUCUUUCUUAGCUUUUCUUUUCGAAGUUUACUUUUUAGUAAAAAGGCUAAAAUGUCUCUUUUAGACAAGAAGACCCUAUAAAGCUUUACAUAAGAUAAUUUAAUAAAUUAAAAAUAUGUUUUACUGGGGCGGUGAAAAGAUGAAACACUUUUAGAGUGCUGAAAUAACAUUAUUUUAUUACCCAAAAAUUUUGAAUCUUAAAUAAGUUACUUUAGGGAUAACAGCGUAAUACAUUUUGAAAGUUCAAAUUGACAAAUGUGUUUGCGACCUCGAUGUUGGAUUAGAUUUCC